AACGAACGCUGGCGGCAUGCCUAACACAUGCAAGUCGAACGAACCCUUCGGGGUUAGUGGCGCACGGGUGCGUAACGCGUGGGAAUCUGCCCUUUGCUUCGGAAUAACUCAGGGAAACUUGUGCUAAUACCGGAUGAUGUCUUCGGACCAAAGAUUUAUCGGCAAGGGAUGAGCCCGCGUAGGAUUAGGUAGUUGGUGGGGUAAAGGCCUACCAAGCCGACGAUCCUUAGCUGGUCUGAGAGGAUGAUCAGCCACACUGGGACUGAGACACGGCCCAGACUCCUACGGGAGGCAGCAGUGGGGAAUAUUGGACAAUGGGCGCAAGCCUGAUCCAGCAAUGCCGCGUGAGUGAUGAAGGCCCUCGGGUCGUAAAGCUCUUUUACCAGGGAUGAUAAUGACAGUACCUGGAGAAUAAGCUCCGGCUAACUCCGCG
Molecule: ribosomal RNA, 433 nt
Filed under: uncultured bacterium
Lineage: Bacteria
Description: partial 16S ribosomal RNA
Rfam family: Bacterial small subunit ribosomal RNA
Source: RNAcentral